AUGUUAUUUUUGAGCGUGCUAAAUUCAAUCAGACAGCAGGAACAAGGGGAGACAGUGGACAGUUUUAUCACUUCACUCCACUGUUUGUCAGAGCACUGUGGCUAUGGGCAGCUGCAUGACGAAAUGAUUCGGGACAGACUGGUUGUAGGCUUGCGCGAUAAAAGUCUGUUGGAGAAACUUCAGUUGGACUCGGAGUUGACGCUGGAGAGAGCGGUGACGCGCGCGCGUCAGAGCGACAGUAUGAAAAAGCAACAGGACCUGUUGAGGAGUAACUUCAAGGCAGAGACCACAGACGUGGACAGUGUUCAAACAAACCACAAGUUCAACAUAGGCAGAGGGAGACAGCAGAAAAUGCAGGUUAGAACAUAUGACAAAAGCAGUUAUCACGCGCAGCCAGGUAACCAGACAGGGUCACUAUGCAAAGGUCACUAUGCAAAGGUGUGCAUGUGGUGUGGUAGAACGCCAGCACACAGCAAAAACCAGUGCCCAGCUAGAGAUGUAGCAUGUAACCAGUGCCAGAAAAAGGGUCACUAUGCAAAGGUGUGCAGAUCAGGGGUCCUCAACGAAGUUAACACAGCUGAGUCAGAUGAGGAGGGAAUCGCUUUCCUAGGCACAGUCAGCUCAGAGGGUGAACCCUGGCUGAUCAACCUUUAUGUGAAUGAGCACACAGCAGUAUUCAAGAUAGAUACGGGGGCUGAUGUAACAGUGUUAUCUGAAGAUGAAUUUAAGAGGAGGCAAUUUCCAGUGCUAGAGAGCGCAAAGAGAGUGCUGCAAGGUCCAGGUCAGACGCCCAUCACGGUGAGGGGAAAAUUCACAGCUACCAUAGGAACUGACAGUAAAAACACUACACAGGAAGUGUAUGUAGUCCCAGGUCUGAAGUUUAGCCUGCUGGGACGUCCAGCUAUUCAGGCACUUGGGCUAGUGGCUAGAGUAGACACAGUGGCACUGGAUUCAGUCGAGAGAGUCAAGGAGCAGUUCCCCAAACUGUUCAAAGGGCUAGGCAAGAUGGAGGGGGAAUACAAGAUAGAGCUUAAAGCAGACGCCAAACCGUUCUCCAUAUCAACCCCACGACGAAUCCCGCUGCCUCCCAUGUCUAAGGUGAAGAUGGAACUCUCACGUAUGGAAGAGAUAGGGGUGAUAUCAAGGGUUGAACAACCCACAGACUGGUGCGCCGGAAUGGUCACUGUGCCGAAACCAGGCAAGGAUGAGGUGCGCAUCUGCGUUGAUCUGACGAGAUUGAAUGAGUCCGUCAAGAGGGAGAGACACAUGCUCCCGUCAGUCGAACACACACUUGGACAGCUAGAGGGCGCCAAAGUAUUUUCAAAAAUCGAUUUGGCAAAUUCCCCUUGCCAAGGAGUCCGCCCUCCUCACAACAUUCCUCACUCCCUUUGGGAGGUUUUGCUUUAA
Molecule: long non-coding RNA, 1407 nt
Filed under: Gadus morhua (Atlantic cod)
Lineage: Eukaryota; Metazoa; Chordata; Actinopteri; Gadiformes; Gadidae
Description: lncRNA (ENSGMOG00000029524.1)
Source: RNAcentral